GUCCCUUCGAGAACAUCUGAUAAAAUUGGAACGACACAGAAAAGAUUAGCAUGGACUCUGCGCAAGAAUGACACGCAUAAAUCGAGAAAUGGUCCAACUUUUU
Molecule: non-coding RNA, 103 nt
Organism: Salvia hispanica
Lineage: Eukaryota; Viridiplantae; Streptophyta; Magnoliopsida; Lamiales; Lamiaceae
Source: RefSeq, a predicted model, not a curated record